Molecule: ribosomal RNA, 1474 nt
Filed under: Lacticaseibacillus paracasei
Lineage: Bacteria; Bacillati; Bacillota; Bacilli; Lactobacillales; Lactobacillaceae
Description: bacterial SSU rRNA
Rfam family: Bacterial small subunit ribosomal RNA
Source: RNAcentral
CCCUGGCGGGGUGCCUAUACAUGCAGUCGAACGAGUUCUCGUUGAUGAUCGGUGCUUGCACCGAGAUUCAACAUGGAACGAGUGGCGGACGGGUGAGUAACACGUGGGUAACCUGCCCUUAAGUGGGGGAUAACAUUUGGAAACAGAUGCUAAUACCGCAUAGAUCCAAGAACCGCAUGGUUCUUGGCUGAAAGAUGGCGUAAGCUAUCGCUUUUGGAUGGACCCGCGGCGUAUUAGCUAGUUGGUGAGGUAAUGGCUCACCAAGGCGAUGAUACGUAGCCGAACUGAGAGGUUGAUCGGCCACAUUGGGACUGAGACACGGCCCAAACUCCUACGGGAGGCAGCAGUAGGGAAUCUUCCACAAUGGACGCAAGUCUGAUGGAGCAACGCCGCGUGAGUGAAGAAGGCUUUCGGGUCGUAAAACUCUGUUGUUGGAGAAGAAUGGUCGGCAGAGUAACUGUUGUCGGCGUGACGGUAUCCAACCAGAAAGCCACGGCUAACUACGUGCCAGCAGCCGCGGUAAUACGUAGGUGGCAAGCGUUAUCCGGAUUUAUUGGGCGUAAAGCGAGCGCAGGCGGUUUUUUAAGUCUGAUGUGAAAGCCCUCGGCUUAACCGAGGAAGCGCAUCGGAAACUGGGAAACUUGAGUGCAGAAGAGGACAGUGGAACUCCAUGUGUAGCGGUGAAAUGCGUAGAUAUAUGGAAGAACACCAGUGGCGAAGGCGGCUGUCUGGUCUGUAACUGACGCUGAGGCUCGAAAGCAUGGGUAGCGAACAGGAUUAGAUACCCUGGUAGUCCAUGCCGUAAACGAUGAAUGCUAGGUGUUGGAGGGUUUCCGCCCUUCAGUGCCGCAGCUAACGCAUUAAGCAUUCCGCCUGGGGAGUACGACCGCAAGGUUGAAACUCAAAGGAAUUGACGGGGGCCCGCACAAGCGGUGGAGCAUGUGGUUUAAUUCGAAGCAACGCGAAGAACCUUACCAGGUCUUGACAUCUUUUGAUCACCUGAGAGAUCAGGUUUCCCCUUCGGGGGCAAAAUGACAGGUGGUGCAUGGUUGUCGUCAGCUCGUGUCGUGAGAUGUUGGGUUAAGUCCCGCAACGAGCGCAACCCUUAUGACUAGUUGCCAGCAUUUAGUUGGGCACUCUAGUAAGACUGCCGGUGACAAACCGGAGGAAGGUGGGGAUGACGUCAAAUCAUCAUGCCCCUUAUGACCUGGGCUACACACGUGCUACAAUGGAUGGUACAACGAGUUGCGAGACCGCGAGGUCAAGCUAAUCUCUUAAAGCCAUUCUCAGUUCGGACUGUAGGCUGCAACUCGCCUACACGAAGUCGGAAUCGCUAGUAAUCGCGGAUCAGCACGCCGCGGUGAAUACGUUCCCGGGCCUUGUACACACCGCCCGUCACACCAUGAGAGUUUGUAACACCCGAAGCCGGUGGCGUAACCCUUUUAGGGAGCGAGCCGUCUAAGGUGACAAAUUC